This 73-nucleotide transfer RNA is filed under the name Culex quinquefasciatus (southern house mosquito). It matches the Rfam family "tRNA". Rfam says of the family: Transfer RNA (tRNA) molecules are approximately 80 nucleotides in length. Their secondary structure includes four short double-helical elements and three loops (D, anti-codon, and T loops). Further hydrogen bonds mediate the characteristic L-shaped molecular structure. tRNAs have two regions of fundamental functional importance: the anti-codon, which is responsible for specific mRNA codon recognition, and the 3' end, to which the tRNAs corresponding amino acid is attached (by aminoacyl-tRNA synthetases). tRNAs cope with the degeneracy of the genetic code in two manners: having more than one tRNA (with a specific anti-codon) for a particular amino acid; and 'wobble' base-pairing, i.e. permitting non-standard base-pairing at the 3rd anti-codon position. Lineage: Eukaryota; Metazoa; Arthropoda; Insecta; Diptera; Culicidae. The record is from Rfam by way of RNAcentral.
GGUCCGGUGGCGCAGUGGUUAGCGUGGUAACCUCUCACCCCAGUAUGGCCUGGGUUCAAUCCCAGACGGACCC